AUUGAACGCUGGCGGCAGGCCUAACACAUGCAAGUCGAGCGGAGUGGCGGACGGGUGAGUGUUGCUUAGGAAUCUUCCUGGUAGUGGGGGAUAACGUCCGGAAACGGGCGCUGAUACCGCAUACUAUGCCACGAGCCUAGGUCGGAUUAGCUAGUUGGUGGGUUAAAGGCCCACAAGGGCGACGAUCUGUAACUGGUCGGAGAGGAUGAUCAGUCACAUGGGAACUGGGAAACGGUCAAGACCCCUACGGGGGGCAGCAGUGGGGAAUAUUGGACAAUGGGCUAAAGCCUAAUCCACACAGGCCGCGUGUGUGAAGAAGGUCUUCGGAUUGUAAAGCACUUUAAGUGGGGAGGCGUUACCAACAGAAUAAGCACCGGCUAACUUCGUGCCAGCAGCCGCGGUAAUUC
This 407-nucleotide ribosomal RNA is filed under the name uncultured bacterium. Its description in RNAcentral is "partial 16S ribosomal RNA". It matches the Rfam family "Bacterial small subunit ribosomal RNA", at positions 30 to 526 of the family's 1533-position model. The record is from RNAcentral.